UGUAGUGUCCAUUGCCUCUUGUGAGGCGCCGGACACGUGCUCUUGCGAGCGGGAAGAUUUCAGAGGGAGUCCCGCCUUGGAGGGCAAGACCCCUGCGCCCACCAGCCCGGAGGUCGAUGGGGCUCCCAGAGGGAUUUGGCUACGCCGGCCGUUGCCAGCGCAUGAAGGAACCUCGGAAGUUGAGGCAGCCUCGGCUGCGCCCUCCUUCGGGGUCGAUGGUUCCUUCUCCUCGGUUGACGGAGCAGCGCUAGCUGCAACCGUCGCGGGGGCAGAUGGCGUGACUGCCGACUCACUGCUUGUGGGUCGGACAGCCGCCGGAGGCCGUUGUGACGCUGCCCCCUGACGCGCCACUUCGGCAAAGCUUUUCUUUGGCAGGAUGGGCACGACCGUGAGUACGCGGCGUGAUCCCCAUCACAGUUUACACAGUGUAGAGAGUUCUUACAUUCUUCAGUUGCGUGUUCAAGGGCACUGCAUUUGGCGCAUGUUUGGCGGCCUCGGCAGCUCUGCGAGCUGUGGCCAAAACGUUGGCAUUUGAAACAUCUCAAGGGAUUUGGCACACACGGGCGUACACGAAGCUUGAUGUACCCGGCCUCGAUUGACUCGGGCAGGACACUUGAAUUGAAGGUGAGUAUUAGGUGUUUGGUCGGAAUUUCUUUACCGUCUCGCCUUAUCUUGAUCCUUUUGACAUUUAUGACAUUCUGUUCGCUGAAGCCCUCCAAGAGCUCAGCCUCAGAGAGCUCCAGCAAAUCAUCGUCCGAGACAACGCCGCGGGAAGUAUUCAUCGUGCGGUGCGGGGUUACUACUAUUUGGGUCUCCCCAAAUGAUACUAGCUGAGGCAGUUUUUCAAAUUGCUUCUGAUCGCGGAGCUCCAGGAGGAGGUCUCCGCUAGCCAUCCUCGACACCUUAUAUCCUGGACCAAAAACUUCGAGUGGAUCACGUGAAAACGAGG
This 949-nucleotide long non-coding RNA is filed under the name Dermacentor andersoni. RNAcentral's name for it is "uncharacterized LOC126544526". Lineage: Eukaryota; Metazoa; Arthropoda; Arachnida; Ixodida; Ixodidae. The record is from RNAcentral.